This 841-nucleotide unclassified non-coding RNA is filed under the name Hevea brasiliensis (rubber tree). The record is from RNAcentral. Lineage: Eukaryota; Viridiplantae; Streptophyta; Magnoliopsida; Malpighiales; Euphorbiaceae.
AGAAAAUGUUAGAGGCUGGAGUACUGGAUAAUGUUGAUGCCAUUUUUGGGUUGCAUGUAAGUUCCAGGCAUCCUUUUGGUAUGGUCAUCUCCAAGCCUGGUCCUAUUCUGGCUGCAAGUGGUUUCUUUGAGGCAGUUAUUGGUGGUAAGGGAGGUCAUGCUGCUCUACCCCAACACACAAUUGACCCAAUUUUAGCAGCUUCCAACAUAAUUGUUAGUUUGCAACAUCUUGUCUCGCGUGAAGCCGAUCCUUUGGAUUCACAGGUGGUUACAAUAGCAAAGUUUCAAGGCGGUGGUGCAUUCAAUGUCAUACCAGAUUCUGUUACAAUUGGAGGCACUUUCAGGGCAUUUUCAAAAGAAAGCUUCAACCAACUUAAACAGAGAAUUAUAGAGGUUAUCACAAAACAGGCAAACGUUCAGAGGUGCAAUGCCACUGUCGAGUUAAAUGAAGAUCAAAAGCCUUUUUUUCCAGUUACAUUGAAUGACCAAAAUCUUUACAAACAUUUUCAAACUGUUGCCGGGGACAUGUUGGGUACUAACAACAUUCUUGAUAUGCAACCAUUGAUGGGAACAGAAGACUUUGGAUUCUAUGGUGAAGUGAUUCCAGGACUGUUCUACUUUGUUGGGAUGAAAAAUGAAAGUGUAGGAAAGUUCGAACAAGGACAUUCACCUUAUUACAUAGUAAAUGAAGAUGUUCUUCCUUAUGGUGCGGCAUUGCAUGCAUCAAUCGCCACAAGGUACCUUCUAGAGUACUCAACCAAAUCUGCUUCAACUAAAGGACACUCUUAUGAUGAGCUUUAAAGAUUUGUAUUUGUAUGAUAGGAAUAUUAUUAGAGCAGUGU